Molecule: non-coding RNA, 198 nt
Filed under: Oceanicella actignis
Lineage: Bacteria; Pseudomonadati; Pseudomonadota; Alphaproteobacteria; Rhodobacterales; Paracoccaceae
Description: Bacterial small subunit ribosomal RNA
Rfam family: Bacterial small subunit ribosomal RNA
Source: Rfam by way of RNAcentral
CAACUUGAGAGUUUGAUCCUGGCUCAGAACGAACGCUGGCGGCAGGCCUAACACAUGCAAGUCGAGCGGGCCCUUCGGGGUCAGCGGCGGACGGGUGAGUAACGCGUGGGAACGUGCCUUUCGGUUCGGAAUAGCCCCGGGAAACUGGGAUUAACGCCGGAUACGCCCUUCGGGGGAAAGAUUUAUCGCCGAGAGAUC